GACGAACGCUGGCGGCGUGCUUAACACAUGCAAGUCGAACGGAAAGGCCCUGCUUUUGUGGGGUGCUCGAGUGGCGAACGGGUGAGUAACACGUGAGUAACCUGCCCUUGACUUUGGGAUAACUUCAGGAAACUGGGGCUAAUACCGGAUAGGAGCUCCUGCUGCAUAGUGGGGGUUGGAAAGUUUCGGCGGUUGGGGAUGGACUCGCGGCUUACCAGCUUGUUGGUGGGGUAGUGGCUUACCAAGGCUUUGACGGGUAGCCGGCCUGAGAGGGUGACCGGCCACAUUGGGACUGAGAUACGGCCCAGACUCCUACGGGAGGCAGCAGUGGGGAAUAUUGCACAAUGGGCGGAAGCCUGAUGCAGCAACGCCGCGUGCGGGAUGACGGCCUUCGGGUUGUAAACCGCUUUCGCCUGUGACGAAGCGUGAGUGACGGUAAUGGGUAAAGAAGCACCGGCUAACUACGUG
RNAcentral lists this ribosomal RNA (468 nucleotides) under uncultured bacterium. Its description in RNAcentral is "partial 16S ribosomal RNA". It matches the Rfam family "Bacterial small subunit ribosomal RNA", at positions 28 to 507 of the family's 1533-position model. The record is from RNAcentral.